UAAGUAUAAGCAAUUAUACCGCGAAACUGCGAAUGGCUCAUUAUAUAAGUUAUCGUUUAUUUGAUAAUACUUUACUACUUGGAUAACCGUGGUAAUUCUAGAGCUAAUACAUGCUAAAAAUCCCGACUUCGGAAGGGNUGUAUUUAUUAGAUUAAAAACCAAUGCCCUCUNGGGCUCUCUGGUGAAUCAUAAUAACUAGUCGAAUCGACAGGCCUUGUGCNNGCGAUGGCUCAUUCAAAUUUCUUCCCUAUCAACUUUCGAUGUUUGGGUAUUGGCCAAACAUGGUGGCAACGGGUAACGGAGGGUUAGGGCUCGACCCCGGAGAAGGAGCCUGAGAAACGGCUACUACAUCCAAGGAAGGCAGCAGGCGCGCAAAUUACCCAAUCCCGACACGGGGAGGUAGUGACAAUAAAUACUGAUACAGGGCUCUUUUGGGUCUUGUAAUCGGAAUGAGUACAAUUUAAAUCCCUUAACGAGGAACAAUUGGAGGGCAAGUNUGGUGCCAGCAGCCGCGGUAAUUCCAGCUCCAAUAGCGUAUAUUAAAGUUGUUGUGGUUAAAAAGCUCGUAGUUGAACCUUGGGCCUGGCUGGCNGGUCCGNCUCACCGCGUGUACUGGUCCGGCCGGGCCUUUCCCUCUGUGGAACCCCAUGCCCUUCACUGGGUGUGGCGGGGAAACAGGACUUUUACUUUGAAAAAAUUAGAGUGCUCAAGGCAGGCCUAUGCUCGAAUACAUUAGCAUGGAAUAAUAAAAUAGGACGUGUGGUUCUAUUUUGUUGGUUUCUAGGACCGCCGUAAUGAUUAAUAGGGACAGUCGGGGGCAUCAGUAUUCAAUUGUCAGAGGUGAAAUUCUUGGAUUUAUUGAAGACUAACUACUGCGAAAGCAUUUGCCAAGGAUGUUUUCAUUAAUCAGGAACGAAAGUUAGGGGAUCGAAGACGAUCAGAUACGGUCGUAGUCUUAACCAUAAACUAUGCCGACUAGGGAUCGGACGAUGUUACAUUUU
RNAcentral lists this ribosomal RNA (1001 nucleotides) under Sphaerostilbella cf. aureonitens G.J.S. 82-40. RNAcentral describes it as "SSU rRNA". It matches the Rfam family "Eukaryotic small subunit ribosomal RNA", at positions 60 to 1071 of the family's 1831-position model. Lineage: Eukaryota; Fungi; Ascomycota; Sordariomycetes; Hypocreales; Hypocreaceae. The record is from RNAcentral.